This 253-nucleotide ribosomal RNA is filed under the name uncultured bacterium. RNAcentral describes it as "partial 16S ribosomal RNA". It matches the Rfam family "Bacterial small subunit ribosomal RNA", at positions 524 to 776 of the family's 1533-position model. The record is from RNAcentral.
UACGUAGGCAGCAAGCGUUGUUCGGAAUUACUGGGCGUAAAGCGCACGUAGGCGGCUUUGUAAGUUAGAGGUGAAAGCCCGGGGCUCAACCCCGGAAUUGCCUUUAAGACUGCAUCGCUAGAAUUGUGGAGAGGUAAGUGGAAUUCCGAGUGUAGAGGUGAAAUUCGUAGAUAUUCGGAAGAACACCAGUGGCGAAGGCGACUUACUGGACACAUAUUGACGCUGAGGUGCGAAAGCGUGGGGAGCAAACAGG